RNAcentral lists this ribosomal RNA (300 nucleotides) under uncultured Ignavigranum sp. Its description in RNAcentral is "bacterial SSU rRNA". It matches the Rfam family "Bacterial small subunit ribosomal RNA", at positions 496 to 795 of the family's 1533-position model. Lineage: Bacteria; Bacillati; Bacillota; Bacilli; Lactobacillales; Aerococcaceae. The record is from RNAcentral.
UCGAAUGUGGGGCCAGCGGCUGUGGUAAUACGAAGGUGGCAAGGGUGGUUCGGAUGUACGGGCGGGACAUGGAGCGUAGGCGGUUGGGUAAGCCCUCCGUGAAAUCUCCGGGCCUAACCCGGAAAGUGCGGAGGGGACUGCUCGGGUAGAGGAUGGGAGAGGAGCGCGGAAUUCCCGGUGUAGCGGUGAAAUGCGUAGAGAUCGGGAGGAAGGCCGGUGGCGAAGGCGGCGCUCUGGAACAUUUCUGACGCUGAGGCUCGAAAGCGUGGGGAGCAAACAGGAUUAGAUACCCUAGUAGUC